AGGGCGUAUGGAGGAUGCCUUGACACGAAAGAGCGAAGAAGGUCGUGGCGUGACUGCGAUAAGCUUCGGGGAGCCGUCUAGCGGGCUUUGAUCCGGAGAUGACCGAAUGGGGGAACCCCAUCGAGCAAACCUCGAUGACCCGGCGCAAGCUGGGAGCGUACCUGGCGAAGUGAAACAUCUCAGUAGCCAGAGGAAAAGAAAUCAACAAGAUUCCCUUAGUAGCGGCGAGCGAAAAGGGAUAAGCCUAAACUUUUUUAACGCAAGUUAAAAAGGGGUAAUAAGGAUAGAACACUUGAAUUUUUAUCGUUGCGCUUUCGAAGGCAGCGGUAAAAAUUUGAAAGAAGUUACAAAUUCCAAAGUUAGCAGAACGGCCUUGGAACAGCCGGCCAAAGAAGGUGAUAGCCCUGUAAGCGAAAACUUCUGGAACUUCUGUUUUAUUGCGGCGCAAGCCGCCUUGCUUGAGUAGCCCGGGAUAAGAAUGUCCUGGGUGAAUUUGCCCAUACUACUGGGUAAGGCUAAAUAUCUUUCGUGAUCGAUAGUGAACCAGUACCGUGAGGGAAAGGUGAAAAGCACCCCGGUGAGGGGAGUGAAAUAGCAACUGAAACCAUAUGCCUACAAAGAGCGGAAGUCCUUCGGCGGCAGCAAUGCCGUCUGGGAUGACCGUGUGCCUAUUGAAGAAUGACCCAACGAGUUUAUCCAAAUUGCUCUAUAAGUGCCUCUGGCACGUAUGGAAAGGGAAACCGAGUGUUAAAAGCGCGUAUUAGAACUAAAUAAAAUUUUCUUUAAAAAGAAAGUUUUAAUAGUUCUAGAAGCAGUUUGGGUAAGACCCGAAGCCAGGCGAGCUAACCAUGCCCAGGAUGAAGGUUGUCGAAAGACAACUGGAGGUCCGAACUGGUUGGUAGCGCAAUACCAUCGGAUGAGGUGUGGUUCGUAGUGAAAAGCUUAUCGAGCCUGGUAAUAGCUGGUUCUCCCCGAAAUGCCUUUAGGGGCAGCGGCGGAUUGUAGUUGAGGGGGUAGAGCACUGAUUGGUUUGCCGUGCCCGCAAGGGUAGGCUUACCAAAUAAACUCCGAAUACCUCAGCGUAAUUUCCGCCAGUGAGUAAGCGAGGGCAAAGCUUCGUUUACGCGAGGGAAACAGCCCAGAUCAUCAAUUAAGGUCCCAAAAUCUAUGCUAAGUGAAAAGGAAGUAUUCUGCCUUAGACAGGUAGGAUGUUGGCUUAGAAGCAGCCAUCAUUUAAAAAGUGCGUAAUAGCUUACUACUCGAUUUCGCCGCAAGGCGACGAGGCAGGAUGCGCCGAAAAUUUAUAGGGGCUAAGCAUAGUACCGAAAUUAUGGGUUUGAUGAGGAUUAAAAUCAGGCGAGACCUGAUAAUCCGAUCUUUUUCGAAAUCAUCAAGCGGUAGGGGAGCAUUCUGAUUGCUGUGAAGGUGAACUGUGAAGUUUGCUGGAGCGUUCAGAAGGGAGAAUGUUGGGAUGAGUAACCGCAAGUGGCGUGAAAACCGCCACCGCCGAAAGCCUAAGGUUUCCUCCGCGAUGUCAAUCAUCGGAGGGUUAGGCGUCCCUAAGCGUAACCUAGCUUGCGGGCUAGGGAUCGCGAUGGUGAGCCGGUUAAUAUUCCGGCCCCGCUUACAUAUUCGAAGGAGUGACGGGCUAAAUUAGAUCGAGCGCAUUAUUGGAUUUGACGUCUUUGCUCAUAGAGUGGGAACCAGGCAAAUCCGGUUCCAGCCGAAAGGCGCACUCGAGAGUGAAAGAAAUGGCCGUUAGGCCAGAUUCGAUUGACGAGGGCUCCAAGAAAAGCUUCUAAGAUUAAUAUGUAAGCGCACGUACCGAAAACCGAAACAGGUGGGCUGGUGUAAGUGCACCAAGGCGAACGGGUGAUUAUUGGCUAAGGAACUCGGCAAAAAAGCGGCCGUAAGUUCGCGAUAAGGCCUUGUGCUAAGCCGUAAGGCGCUGUAUACGGGGUGACGCUUGUCCGGUGCCGGAACGUUAACGGUGAAGGUGGCGGGUAGCAAUACCCUCUGCCAACGCCCGAAGCGCCGGUGAACGACGGCAGUAACUAUAACUGUCUAAAAGUAGCAAAAUACCUUGUGGGGUAAGUUCCCACGCGCAUGAAUAGCGGAACGACUGGAGGACUGUCUCAGCCAAUAGCCCGGUGAAAAUGCAAUGUCGGUAAAGAUGCCGACUACCCGCACCUAGACGGAAAGACCCCGGAAGCUUUACUGUAGCUUGGUAUUGGUCUACGAGUUGUCAUACGUAGCGUAGUGAGUAGGAUUUGAAGUCCACCUCUCGGGGU
Molecule: ribosomal RNA, 2291 nt
Filed under: Microgenomates group bacterium GW2011_GWC1_46_16
Lineage: Bacteria
Description: bacterial LSU rRNA
Rfam family: Bacterial large subunit ribosomal RNA
Source: RNAcentral